This is an RNA transcript of Cajanus cajan (pigeon pea), 1184 nucleotides long. It is a transcript of the gene named DHBP synthase RibB-like alpha/beta domain-containing protein, with no coding region annotated. Lineage: Eukaryota; Viridiplantae; Streptophyta; Magnoliopsida; Fabales; Fabaceae. The record is from RefSeq and is a predicted model, not a curated record.
AAAAAAAAGAACAACCUUGAGUGAGUAUGGAGCAUAGCAUUGACAUUUGGCAUUGGUGAACGAGAGGAUGAGCAUUUGUACGCGAGGAGUGCUUCUCAUCAACGCUCGUAUCUCUUCCAAUUUCUCCUUCCGAGGCUUUCGCAGGUUGUCGGUUGUUCCACGUUUGCAACAGUGUGAAGGGGUGAGAAGGGGUUUCUCCAAAAGCAUGGCUUGCAGUGUGGAAAAUUGUGAUAUGGGUAGUGGGGUGGUUCAUCCAGCCACAGAUGCUUAUGCUGGAGAGGCAGUUGAAGCUUUGAAAGCUGGGAAAGUCAUUGCAGUGCCCACUGAUACACUCUAUGGCUUUGCUUGUGAUGCUUGUUCAUUGGAAGCGGUUAACAGGAUUUAUGAGAUUAAAGGCCGUAGACAUACAAGCCCUCUGGCUAUUUGUGUCGGUGACGUAUCAGAUAUAGCCCGUUUUGCUGUCACUGACCAUUUACCUCAUGGUCUGCUUGAUUCCCUCCUACCUGGGCCUGUUACAGUUGUACUAAAACGAGGAGAGUCAAGUGUUCUUGAACGAUCAUUGAACCCAGGAUUUGAUAGUAUAGGAGUUAGAGUACCUGAUUGCAACUUCAUCAGGAUCAUUGCCCGUGGUUCAGGAACUGCCCUAGCUCUAACCAGUGCAAACCUAAGUGGACAGCCAAGUAGUGUGACCAUCAAAGAUUUUGAGAACCUCUGGGAACACUGUGCUUUUGUUUAUGAUGGUGGUUUGCUUCCAUCAAGUCGUGCAGGUUCAACAGUUGUGGACCUCACUGCACCGCACAAAUACAGGAUACUUAGACCUGGAAGUGCAAAGGACGAGACAGUUGCCAUCUUGGAAAAGCAUUCUUUCGUUGAGGAAGUGACCUCUUAAAUAAUUUGUGAUUCAUUUGCAGUGUCACGUUGUAGCUAGGCAUAAUGUUUCACUUGCAAAAAAAAAACAAUUAUUUCGCUUGGACAUUUGAUGCAUUACGACCGUGGUAGAUAGUGCAUUGUGGGAUUCCUUCUAUAUUUAACAUCUUUGAAACACAAAGCAACCACUGGAUAUGGAUGCUGAAUCUUGUUAUCUCGAGCAUCACGAAUUAUGUUACGUGUUUGUUGUGGCAUUGCUUUUACAUUGGAUUUCACGAGUAUCAUUAUAAAAGUGUGUAUUUCUGAAUCUUCCUGGC